UAGGGAAUCUUCCACAAUGGACGCAAGUCUGAUGGAGCAACGCCGCGUGAGUGAAGAAGGGUUUCGGCUCGUAAAGCUCUGCUGUUAAAGAAGAACGUGGGUAAAGAGUAACUGUUUACCCAGUGACGGUAUUUAACCAGAAAGCCACGGCUAACUACGUGCCAA
RNAcentral lists this ribosomal RNA (165 nucleotides) under uncultured bacterium. RNAcentral describes it as "partial 16S ribosomal RNA". It matches the Rfam family "Bacterial small subunit ribosomal RNA", at positions 355 to 511 of the family's 1533-position model. The record is from RNAcentral.